Molecule: long non-coding RNA, 455 nt
Organism: Manacus vitellinus (golden-collared manakin)
Lineage: Eukaryota; Metazoa; Chordata; Aves; Passeriformes; Pipridae
Source: Ensembl
AGGGGCGGGAGCGGCGGCGGAGCGAGCGGAGCCAUGUCGGGCCGGGAGGGUAAGGCCGGGCCCGGGACCCGCCGGUGCCGCCCGCCCGGCCCCGCCCGGCCCUCACUGUGUCCUCUGUCUUUGCAGGCGGCAAGAAGAAGCCGCUGAAGCAGCCGAAGAAGCAGACGAAGGACCUGGAUGAGACAGAUCUGGCAUUCAAACAAAAGCAGAAGGAGGAGCAAAAGAAACUUGAGGAGAUGAAAGCAAAAGCUGCUGGAAAAGGGCCUCUGGCCAGUGGUGGAAUAAAGAAGUCUGGCAAAAAGUAGUUUGAUUAAACUGCAGGGUAAGAAGUGAUCGAGUUACUCAAUGGAUUUGCAGACUUCAGAGAGUCAUGAAAACUCACUGUCAUUUUGGGAACAUUGUACAUUUUGUUUAGUCUGAAUAAAUACUUUUUGUUAAGAUGUGAUACUUUCUCU